Molecule: long non-coding RNA, 244 nt
Filed under: Daucus carota (carrot)
Lineage: Eukaryota; Viridiplantae; Streptophyta; Magnoliopsida; Apiales; Apiaceae
Description: long non-coding RNA (DCAR_LNC006150)
Source: RNAcentral
CCGGGUUUUCUGCAUUCUGAUCAUUUGACUCCUUGACCUCAUGCUCAGUUGUAUUCACUUCACUCACAGUGACCCCUCCAUUCUCAACAGCUUUUAAUAAUUCUGUAGAUGACUUAUCGUUCCCAAUAGGAUCUGCUGAAACAACAGGUUCUGUAAACUUAUCGCUCCCAGUAACCUCUGCUGAAACAGCAGGUUCUACAGGAUGGUGUGAUCCUUUCUUGUUCCUUCCUUUAUUUGAUUUCCC